This 349-nucleotide ribosomal RNA is filed under the name uncultured bacterium. RNAcentral describes it as "bacterial SSU rRNA". It matches the Rfam family "Bacterial small subunit ribosomal RNA", at positions 30 to 378 of the family's 1533-position model. The record is from RNAcentral.
AUUGAACGCUGGCGGCAUGCCUUACACAUGCAAGUCGAACGGCAGCACGGGAGCAAUCCUGGUGGCGAGUGGCGAACGGGUGAGUAAUAUAUCGGAACGUGCCCAGUCGUGGGGAUAACGUAGCGAAAGCUACGCUAAUACCGCAUACGAUCUAUGGAUGAAAGCGGGGGAUCGCAAGACCUCGCGCGAUUGGAGCGGCCGAUAUCAGAUUAGGUAGUUGGUGAGGUAAAGGCUCACCAAGCCGACGAUCUGUAGCUGGUCUGAGAGGACGACCAGCCACACUGGGACUGAGACACGGCCCAGACUCCUACGGGAGGCACGCAGUGGGGAAGUUUUGGACAAUGGGCGC